CUGAUGCUUCUGCAGAAAAGCCAAGCCAGGCCAUCAGGACCCUCCCUGAAGGGCGGUCUAGGGUGGCACGGCCAUAUGCGCCACCAUCCCGGUCUCCUCCCAGAGCCUCUCCAGCACCACCCUCGAUUAGGGCUUCUGGUUGGCAUCGUGACUUGGAAAGGAGGGACGCAGGCUGCCGGAGACCAUGCUCUGCUGCUCAUCUUCUCUCUGGGCUCCUGUCCCAGCUCCAGUGUCUCCUAUUUCGGCUCUGCAUCCUACCUUCCCACCCCCCUGGCAUGCCCCAGUCCCCUCGGACCCUGAGCCUAUGAAAUCCUGACUACAAAAAUGGAGGCAGCACCCAGGGUCAUUCCUGGAGCAUAAACGAUCCCUGCAGAACAUGGGCUAGAAGACCCCACAGUGGGGCAGAGGCAGGUCCUGGACUGGGAUCCCAGCAGUGAGAAGACCUGGACAUCAACCCUAUUUCAUUGUGCCUCUGCAAAUCUCCCAACUUUUGGAGCUGUAGCUGCAAGCUCAGACUUGUGGUUUCCUGUACCUGGAGGAGGCCCAGGUCAUUCUGUUAAGUCCCUUGUCUAUUUCCUGCUUUUAUCUGGAUGCUGAGUUAAUUAUUUGAUCCAACAAUAAAACUAACAAGGUUUUAUUUGUUUUUAAUGUCUUCUCUUUGCUGAACGCUGUGCUGGGUGCUGUAGCUGACAUGGUUUUUGUCUUAACAGCUCAUGAAUCAAAUCCCAGCUCCACCUUUUAUAGCUUUAGACAAGCAUUUAACCACCACUUGGGCCUGUUUCCUUACCUGCAAAGUGGGGAUAAUGACAGUUAAUAGCUACUUCAUUGUGACUUUGUGAGGAUUAAAUAAGAUACGGCAGAUAAACUACUUAAUAGGGUCUGGCACAUUGUAAGCCUCAAUAAAU
Molecule: long non-coding RNA, 905 nt
Filed under: Homo sapiens (human)
Lineage: Eukaryota; Metazoa; Chordata; Mammalia; Primates; Hominidae
Description: HSALNT0214608
Source: RNAcentral